GACGAACGCUGGCGGCGUGCUUAACACAUGCAAGUCGAACGGAAAGGCCCCCAUCUUGGUGGGGGUGCUCGAGUGGCGAACGGGUGAGUAACACGUGGGUGAUCUGCCCUGUACUUCGGGAUAAGCUUGGGAAACUGGGUCUAAUACCGGAUAGGACCAUGGUUUAGUGUCUCAUGGUGGAAAGAUUAUUGUUUUGGUGCAGGAUGAGCUCGCGGCCUAUCAGCUUGUUGGUGGGGUAAUGGCCUACCAAGGCGUCGACGGGUAGCCGGCCUGAGAGGGUGGACGGGCACAUUGGGACUGAGAUACGGCCCAGACUCCUACGGGAGGCAGCAGUGGGGAAUAUUGCACAAUGGGCGCAAGCCUGAUGCAGCGACGCCGCGUGGGGGAUGACGGCCUUCGGGUUGUAAACUCCUUUCGUUAGGGACGAAGCCACGCUUGUGGGGUGUGGUGACGGUACCUUUGUUAAGAAGCACCGGCUAACUACGUG
RNAcentral lists this ribosomal RNA (487 nucleotides) under uncultured bacterium. Its description in RNAcentral is "partial 16S ribosomal RNA". It matches the Rfam family "Bacterial small subunit ribosomal RNA", at positions 28 to 507 of the family's 1533-position model. The record is from RNAcentral.